AUGAACGCUGGCGGCGUGCCUAAUACAUGCAAGUCGAGCGAACAGAUGAGGAGCUUGCUCCUCUGACGUUAGCGGCGGACGGGUGAGUAACACGUGGAUAACCUACCUAUAAGACUGGGAUAACUUCGGGAAACCGGAGCUAAUACCGGAUAAUAUAUUGAACCGCAUGGUUCAAUAGUGAAAGACGGUUUUGCUGUCACUUAUAGAUGGAUCCGCGCCGCAUUAGCUAGUUGGUAAGGUAACGGCUUACCAAGGCAACGAUGCGUAGCCGACCUGAGAGGGUGAUCGGCCACACUGGAACUGAGACACGGACCAGACUCCUACGGGAGGCAGCAGUAGGGAAUCUUCCGCAAUGGGCGAAAGCCUGACGGAGCAACGCCGCGUGAGUGAUGAAGGUCUUCGGAUCGUAAAACUCUGUUAUUAGGGAAGAACAAAUGUGUAAGUAACUAUGCACGUCUUGACGGUACCUAAUCAGAAAGCCACGGCUAACUACGUG
RNAcentral lists this ribosomal RNA (496 nucleotides) under uncultured bacterium. RNAcentral's name for it is "partial 16S ribosomal RNA". It matches the Rfam family "Bacterial small subunit ribosomal RNA", at positions 29 to 507 of the family's 1533-position model. The record is from RNAcentral.